UUUCAUAUUUCAAAAGCGGAGGAAAAGAAACCAACAGGGAUUGCCUCAGUAGCGGCGAGUGAAGCGGCAAGAGCUCAGAUUUGAAAUCUCACCUAGUGUGCGAGUUGUAAAUUGCAGGUUGGAGUCUCGGGUUAGACGUGUGUGCAAGUCCCUUGGAACAGGGCGCCACUGAGGGUGAGAGCCCCGUAGCGUGCAUGUCGACACCUGUGAGGCCCUUCUGACGAGUCGAGUUGUUUGGGAAUGCAGCUCUAAGUGGGUGGUAAAUUCCAUCUAAGGCUAAAUAUUGGCGAGAGACCGAUAGCGAACAAGUACUGUGAAGGAAAGAUGAAAAGCACUUUGAAAAGAGAGUGAAACAGCACGUGAAAUUGUUGAAAGGGAAGGGUAUUGGGCUCGACAUGGGAUUUACGCAUCGUUGCCUCUCGUGGGCGGCGCUCUGGGUUUUUCCUGGGCCAGCAUCGGUUUUUGUUGCAGGAUAAGGACAAUUGGAAUGUGGCUCCUCGGAGUGUUAUAGCCUUUUGUAGAUGCUGCGUAUGGGGACCGAGGGCUGCGGCGGACUUGUUCUCUCGGAUGCUGCACAACCGCC
This 583-nucleotide ribosomal RNA is filed under the name Pichia fermentans. Its description in RNAcentral is "eukaryotic LSU rRNA". It matches the Rfam family "Eukaryotic large subunit ribosomal RNA", at positions 33 to 639 of the family's 3401-position model. The record is from RNAcentral. Lineage: Eukaryota; Fungi; Ascomycota; Pichiomycetes; Pichiales; Pichiaceae.